RNAcentral lists this ribosomal RNA (496 nucleotides) under uncultured bacterium. Its description in RNAcentral is "partial 16S ribosomal RNA". It matches the Rfam family "Bacterial small subunit ribosomal RNA", at positions 29 to 507 of the family's 1533-position model. The record is from RNAcentral.
AUGAACGCUGGCGGCGUGCCUAAUACCUGCAAGUCGAGCGAACGGACGAGAAGCUUGCUUCUCUGAUGUUAGCGGCGGACGGGUGAGUAACACGUGGAUAACCUACCUAUAAGACUGGGAUAACUUCGGGAAACCGGAGCUAAUACCGGAUAAUAUUUUGAACCGCAUGGUUCAAAAGUGAAAGACGGUCUUGCUGUCACUUAUAGAUGGAUCCGCGCUGCAUUAGCUAGUUGGUAAGGUAACGGCUUACCAAGGCAACGAUGCAUAGCCGACCUGAGAGGGUGAUCGGCCACACUGGAACUGAGACACGGUCCAGACUCCUACGGGAGGCAGCAGUAGGGAAUCUUCCGCAAUGGGCGAAAGCCUGACGGAGCAACGCCGCGUGAGUGAUGAAGGUCUUCGGAUAGUAAAACUCUGUUAUUAGGGAAGAACAUAUGUGUAAGUAACUGUGCACAUCUUGACGGUACCUAAUCAGAAAGCCACGGCUAACUACGUG